GUACUGCUGGAGAGUCCCACACUAGGACGAAACAGCUGUCCAGUAC
Trichobilharzia regenti is the source of this 46-nucleotide non-coding RNA. The record is from Rfam. Lineage: Eukaryota; Metazoa; Platyhelminthes; Trematoda; Strigeidida; Schistosomatidae.